UCUUUGUUAACUUCCAGUCCACAGACACAGU
This 31-nucleotide non-coding RNA is filed under the name Rattus norvegicus (Norway rat). Lineage: Eukaryota; Metazoa; Chordata; Mammalia; Rodentia; Muridae. The record is from RNAcentral.